AUGUCGUUGCUACGAACCCUGCUCCUUCUACUUGUCUUCUAUGCCGCGCUCCUCGCCGCUGCCGUGUCCGGCGCGCCAUCUCCUCCUCCAGCCCCGCGGCCGCCGGAGCCGAACAACUGCCCUGACAAGUGUGGGGGCAUAGACAUCCCCUACCCAUUCGGUAUCGGCCGCAGGUGCUCCAUGUCCCGCCGCUUCGCCCUCAGGUGCAACGAGACGACGAGCCCUCCCACCCUGCUCAAGGGUAACAUCAAGAUCGUCAACAUCACGCUGGAGACGGCGCAGAUGUUGAUAUACACCUACCUGACCUACAAGUGCCGCGUGCCGGGCGGCAACAAUACUAUCGAGGACACGACGCAGAGCAUGGACCUUAGAGUCGGCGACCCGUUCCUGAUCUCACCGUCGGAGAAUGUGUUCACGGCCGUCGGGUGCAGCUCGACGGCCAGGCUCAAAGGCAGCAGCAAGGCCACCGCCGCCUACCUCACCGGCUGCAUCACGACAUGCGUCAGGGUCAACAACACCGGGGACGACGGCACGGCCUGCAGCGGACACGGCUGCUGCCAGGCCUUGCUCACGUCCGGCCUCAGGCAAGUUAGCUUGGUGUGGGACAUGAACGAGCAAGCCGCACGUCCUGUGUCUGUACGCCUUCAUCGCUACCAAAGGCUGGUACAAUUUCACAAAAAGUGACCUAACUGGGAAUAUGACAUUCCUCAAUAGACUUGGAGGCGACAGAGUCAUUCCAGUUGUUCUUGACUGGGCAAUUAGGAAUGGAACAUGCCCAUCGGCGCCAAAAGGGGAUAACAAUGAGAAUCUUUCCCAUGGCGCUUGUGCUAGCACCCAGAGCUACUGUGUAAAUGCCAGUAAUGGAGAACAUGGCUAUUUCUGCAGAUGCUCCAAGGGAUACACCGGCAAUCCAUACAUAAAAGAUGGAUGCACAAAUAUUAAUGAGUGCGAGCUGCGGAGAUCCCCAAAGUCAACAAUGUACAAGAACAUGUAUCCUUGUCACGGCGGGACAUGCCAUGAUAGAGAAGGUGGUUAUGAGUGUAAAUGCAAUUUCGGACGAAGAGGUGAUGGUAAAAGUUACAAGGGUUGUGAACCCAUCGUGUCCACGGCUGCAGUGGCAGUAAUAGGAACAAUCGGUGCCAUUGCAUUACUCGCUGUGCUACUAAUAUUCUUACACAUGGAACGUGAGAAAAGAAAGUUGAGGGACCGGUUCAAUAAGAACGGUGGAGAGUUACUCAAAAGUCUCAAGAUCGAGAUCUUCACAAAGGAGAAGCUAGACCACAUCACACAUAACUACUGCGACAUCAUCGGCCAAGGCGCCUUCGGCAAGGUCUACAAGGGAACCAUCAGCGCUGGAGACAGUGCACGGGUCGCCGUGAAAUGCUCGAUCCCCAACAACCAGGACUGGAAGAAGGAGUCCUUCGCGAAUGAGAUCACGAUCCAGUCCAAUAUCAGCCACCGGAACCUGGUCCAGUUGCUAGGAUGUUGCCUGGAGACGGAGGUGCCCAUGCUGGUCUACGAGUUUGUGCCCAGGGGGAGCCUCCAUGACGUACUCCACGGCGAUAAUAAGAAACCUCUCCCGUUGGAAAAACGCCUGGAUAUUGCCAUCUACUCAGCGGUUGCCCUCGGAUACAUGCACUCGGAGGCGAGCCAGAGGACCAUCCUCCAUGGAGACGUGAAGUCGGGCAACAUCCUCCUGGAUGACGGGUUCGUGCCCAAGGUGUCAGACUUCGGGACGUCGAGGCUCAUGUCCAUCGACAAGGACCAUACCAACUGGGUGGUCGGGGACAGCAGCUACAUCGACCCCGUGUACAUGAAGACCGGGCUGCUCACCGAGAAAAGCGACGUGUACAGCUUUGGCAUCGUACUGCUGGAGCUCGUGACCAGGAAAAAAGCAAGGUAUGACGGGAACCAGAGCCUGCCACUGGAUUAUGUCAAGGCUUCCAUGGGCGGGGCGGCGAGGGAGAUGUUUGAUCCGAAGGUUGCAUCUGGUGCGAAGGAGAACGAGGAGUGCCUCGAGGAGGUGGGCAAGAUCGCGGUGCAGUGUCUCAAGGACGAUGUGAACGACAGACCCACCAUGAGUGAAGUGGCUGAGAGACUUAAAAUAUGUAAGUGCCGGUGGUUGGAGUAUGACAGGAAGACGAAUGAGAUAUGCACUUAG
This 2161-nucleotide ribosomal RNA is filed under the name Triticum aestivum (bread wheat). RNAcentral's name for it is "partial small subunit ribosomal RNA". The record is from RNAcentral. Lineage: Eukaryota; Viridiplantae; Streptophyta; Magnoliopsida; Poales; Poaceae.